Molecule: ribosomal RNA, 433 nt
Filed under: uncultured bacterium
Lineage: Bacteria
Description: partial 16S ribosomal RNA
Rfam family: Bacterial small subunit ribosomal RNA
Source: RNAcentral
AACGAACGCUGGCGGCAUGCCUAACACAUGCAAGUCGAACGAGACCUUCGGGUCUAGUGGCGCACGGGUGCGUAACGCGUGGUAACCUGCCCUUAGGUUCGGAAUAACUCCCCUAAAGGGGUGCUAAUACCGGAUAAUGUCUUCGGACCAAAGAUUUAUCGCCUUUGGAUGGGCCCGCGUUGGAUUAGCUAGUUGGUAGGGUAAAAGCCUACCAAGGCGACGAUCCAUAGCUGGUCUGAGAGGAUGAUCAGCCACACUGGGACUGAGACACGGCCCAGACUCCUACGGGAGGCAGCAGUGGGGAAUAUUGGACAAUGGGCGAAAGCCUGAUCCAGCAAUGCCGCGUGAGUGAUGAAGGCCUUAGGGUUGUAAAGCUCUUUUACCCGGGAUGAUAAUGACAGUACCGGGAGAAUAAGCUCCGGCUAACUCCGUG